RNAcentral lists this ribosomal RNA (465 nucleotides) under Vreelandella stevensii. RNAcentral describes it as "partial 16S ribosomal RNA". It matches the Rfam family "Bacterial small subunit ribosomal RNA", at positions 338 to 795 of the family's 1533-position model. The record is from RNAcentral. Lineage: Bacteria; Pseudomonadati; Pseudomonadota; Gammaproteobacteria; Oceanospirillales; Halomonadaceae.
CCUACGGGUGGCAGCAGUGGGGAAUAUUGGACAAUGGGGGCAACCCUGAUCCAGCCAUGCCGCGUGUGUGAAGAAGGCCCUCGGGUUGUAAAGCACUUUCAGUGAGGAAGAACGCCUGGUGGUUAAUACCCAUCAGGAAAGACAUCACUCACAGAAGAAGCACCGGCUAACUCCGUGCCAGCAGCCGCGGUAAUACGGAGGGUGCGAGCGUUAAUCGGAAUUACUGGGCGUAAAGCGCGCGUAGGGGGCUUGAUAAGCCGGUUGUGAAAGCCCCGGGCUCAACCUGGGAACGGCAUCCGGAACUGUCAAGCUAGAGUGCAGGAGAGGAUGGUAGAAUUCCCGGUGUAGCGGUGAAAUGCGUAGAGAUCGGGAGGAAUACCAGUGGCGAAGGCGGCCUUCUGGACUGACACUGACACUGAGGUGCGAAAGCGUGGGUAGCAAACAGGAUUAGAUACCCGUGUAGUC